This 72-nucleotide transfer RNA is filed under the name Candidatus Woesearchaeota archaeon. Its description in RNAcentral is "tRNA-Gly". It matches the Rfam family "tRNA". From Rfam's summary of the family: Transfer RNA (tRNA) molecules are approximately 80 nucleotides in length. Their secondary structure includes four short double-helical elements and three loops (D, anti-codon, and T loops). Further hydrogen bonds mediate the characteristic L-shaped molecular structure. tRNAs have two regions of fundamental functional importance: the anti-codon, which is responsible for specific mRNA codon recognition, and the 3' end, to which the tRNAs corresponding amino acid is attached (by aminoacyl-tRNA synthetases). tRNAs cope with the degeneracy of the genetic code in two manners: having more than one tRNA (with a specific anti-codon) for a particular amino acid; and 'wobble' base-pairing, i.e. permitting non-standard base-pairing at the 3rd anti-codon position. The record is from RNAcentral. Lineage: Archaea; Nanobdellati; Candidatus Woesearchaeota.
GCACCGGUAGUACAGUGGUUAGUAUACGGCCUUGCCAAGGCUGUGACCUGGGUUCAAAUCCCAGCCGGUGCA